This 233-nucleotide long non-coding RNA is filed under the name Mytilus galloprovincialis (Mediterranean mussel). Lineage: Eukaryota; Metazoa; Mollusca; Bivalvia; Mytilida; Mytilidae. The record is from RNAcentral.
AAUCCUGGUAUCUAUGAUGAAUUUAUAUACCUAGAUAUUUGAUUACAACUGCCAUAUUCCUGACUUGGUACAGAACAUUUAAAGACAAAAUGAUGGGUUGAAGUCUGUCUAUUUUAGCAAGAUUUAUUUUCAACCUUCACCACGUACGGCCUCUAUUACACGACAUAAAGCUACUGUUUUUUUAUAUCCUCCUAAACAUUCAUGAAAUUUCUGCAAAUAGACUUUAGGUAACC